Non-coding RNA from Pantherophis guttatus, 203 nucleotides. NCBI's taxonomy places the organism in Eukaryota, Metazoa, Chordata, Lepidosauria, Squamata, Colubridae. The record is from RefSeq and is a predicted model, not a curated record.
UGCCUGCCUGCUUGCCUUGUCCCGACCCACAUCUGCUCAUUAUCUGAGGAGCUCAAGGAGGUGAAACAGAGGAGAAACAUCUGGAGUGCUGCUAGAGGAAGACUCAUUCUAUGGGUUAUCAAUUUUUAAAGUAUGUAACUUUAAAAUAAAUAAAUGGAAGGAGACACGAGAGAAGACAACCUGGUUUCAGGAAGAAAGCUUUC